AGUGAACGCUGGCGGUAGGCCUAACACAUGCAAGUCGAACGGCAGCACAGUAAGAGCUUGCUCUUACGGGUGGCGAGUGGCGGACGGGUGAGGAAUACAUCGGAAUCUACUUUUUCGUGGGGGAUAACGUAGGGAAACUUACGCUAAUACCGCAUACGACCUACGGGUGAAAGCAGGGGAUCUUCGGACCUUGCGCGAUUGAAUGAGCCGAUGUCGGAUUAGCUAGUUGGCGGGGUAAAGGCCCACCAAGGCGACGAUCCGUAGCUGGUCUGAGAGGAUGAUCAGCCACCCUGGAACUGAGACACGGUCCAGACUCCUACGGGAGGCAACAGUGGGGAAUAUUGGACCAUGGGCGCAAGCCUGAUCCCGCCAUACCGGGUGGGUGAAGAAGGCCUUCGGGUUGUAAAGCCCUUUUGUUGGGAAAGAAAAACAGCAGGUUAAUACCCCGCUGUUCUGACGGUACCCAAAGAAUAAGCACCGGCUAACUUCGUG
RNAcentral lists this ribosomal RNA (492 nucleotides) under uncultured bacterium. Its description in RNAcentral is "partial 16S ribosomal RNA". It matches the Rfam family "Bacterial small subunit ribosomal RNA", at positions 29 to 507 of the family's 1533-position model. The record is from RNAcentral.